Molecule: non-coding RNA, 5946 nt
Organism: Pelobates cultripes (western spadefoot toad)
Lineage: Eukaryota; Metazoa; Chordata; Amphibia; Anura; Pelobatidae
Source: the annotation of a GenBank genome assembly
CCCCUUGCUGCGCCUCGCAAAGCAACAAAACACAGAAUAGUGGCAAGGAUUGCCUUGUCAAGACAAGAACAAUGUAAGGAAGAAGAGCAAGAAAAAGAUCUAAGGAAAAAUCAGUGUUAGAAAAUUGUGGUAAGAGGAUUAUAGAGGGUAUGAUAGGUUUAUGGACUCAGCAAUAGAAAAGGAAAAGCAAGAUGCUUGAAUAUAUGGGGCAAGGGAAAAUAGAGGCUGGUGGAAAGUAUAAGGGGCAGAGACACACAGGAUGUUGUAUAUAGACAUGUGGGGUUAUUGGGAAGAGGCACAAAACGGGUUAAAAAUUGUGCCAGGGAAGGGAGAGAAAUGUGAGAAAGACACUGGUGGUUGUUUGGGAAGGAUACCUGUGAUGUGUAAAAGUUGUGAGGGUCACAGAAGGGUGACAAGGAGAGAUGGUGUGACUGACAAAAGAUGAGAUAAAGUGGAGAAAAACAGGUGAGCAGAGGAUAAGAUAAGAUAAAAUAUAAAAACAAACCAAAAAAAACAAAAUACAAAACAUUGCACCAUAACAAUAAACCUCUUGUACACACACACACACACACACACACACACACACACACACACACACACACACUUUGAACAGGUUUUAAUUACACUCCUUGUACACACACACACACACACACACACACAGAUUGCAACUACACCCCUCAUUCACACACACACACACACUGACACAGAUUUCUAAUUCAAUCAUCAUUUACACAUGCUUACAGUCUACACUCAUACACCCAUGCUUCACACUCACAUUUGCACUCCUCACAAUGCACUUCUAGAGUCAUAUAAUGCUCAAAUGUACUCCUGUGUUCACAAACAGGUGGUUCAUACAGCUCUAUCCCUGAAUUUAUACACAGACUCCACUCUGAUGCACUUUGGCAUACAUAUAUCAUACACCUCCAUGUAUUCACACACAUAGGCACUCAACAAAAAAUACACCCCAGCAUUCACAGAUACUCAACAUAAAAAGAACCUUAUAUUCACGUCUUCAUUCCAUGCAGAUACACCUCUGAUUUCGCACACAUCUGUUAUACUCAUUCGUAGAACACUGUAUUAACACUCUUAAACUACAUGAAAAUAACUCUACAACAACACAUAUUGUACUUUAAGAUUGAUGCGCAUCAACAUUACACACACCUAUAUCCCUACUUGAACACAUAGUAUGGUAAUAUUAAGGCACAUACAAAUACAGCAGUUUUUUUGCAUCGAAUUUGGGGACACUUUGGUGCUCAAUUACGACAUCAUAGUCUAGGACUUUGGAAAAGGGCCGGGGAAGAGCCUUGCUUUUAGUUUGUGGACCUUACUAUGCUGCUCAUUUGGUGGUAGUUUGACUUAUCCUGUGUUCCUGUAGUUCUGACAUUGACCAGGCAUGUUCUUGACAAUCUCUGAUUGCUAACUGCCCUGACCUUGCCUUGUUGGAUGACCUGCUGUCCUGAAUCCUUACUUUUGUUUAUUUACUGAUUUGUCGUUAGUUUAGAACUUGUUGGUGAUUUCUUUCUUGUUAAGCCUCUAUAAUGUCUAGUAAUACAUCGUUCUAACCCUUGUCUAUAUCUGCAGUUAUGGAUGGAUCCUACACUUACCUGCACCUAACUUCUUUUGUUCUGACAAUUCACUCUCAAAGUAAACAUUGCUUAAAUCUUUAAUGUUUUUGAACCAAUGUGCUUGGUUAUUGAAAUCUCCCCUAAAAUUUGAUUUCUUCCUUGUAUACAGCACUGUGUUCUAUCAACAACCCUGAUAAACCAUCAAGUCCCAUUGUGAAUUGGGAAAGGGAUAUAGGUGAAUCAGUUGAAGGCAGUGAUUUAGAGGGGAUCUGGCUGCCUCCAAAAAGUAUAUACUUGGCAGGAUUGCAAUCCCAAUAUUGUAAAAUGCUUUUCUGUUCAUACAAUACUCAUUCAGAACUGUAACGAAUGGAAAUUUUCCCACUCCGUUAGUGUUGUUAAUUCUGGGUCCAAGACUACUUUUUACCACAUGUAUUUGCAAUUCCCAGGGUAACCACUUAAUGGACUAAUAUUAAAGAACUUGUUGGUCAAUUUCUCUGUAAAGCUGAGCCCCUGGACUCUUCUCCUCUACUAUCCACUUUAUAAUAUAACUAGAGCGGAAAAUAAACUUUUGUGCAGAAUUUCCUUACGGUAAGAACGAUAAAGAUGUGAAAUGCUCUGCCUGAAGAGGUGGUUUUUAUCAGAGUCUGUACAGAUCUUUUUUUUUUAUUCUUAAUUUUGUGUCAUGUUGCACACGGUGCCAGAUUAAGAGCCUAGUGGGUUUGGUGCUGACAAUUAUGAGGGGCCUAAGUACAGAAUAUUAUCGACAGAAAACACUAAAACACUCAUACCUCUCAGGCAUUAAGUAUCUGGUGGAGAUGUUGCCGGAGGGAAACACAUAGGAUGCAGCUGUAAGAAAACUCAGAUUCUCUUAAAAUAUGCUAAUCUCUCUCUAAUACAUGCUUUCACCUUUCAAGUAAAUUCAUAAUCCCUAACAGCAGUGUCCAGUGAAGCAGGAAGUCAAUGGGCGGUGUAAAAGGGUGGGCCACUGACGCGAAUCAUGUAACCAAAGGGGACGAACAUGUCCAAAAAGGAGGCGUGUCUGCCCCCAAAAUUGGAAGGCUAGCCUGGCAUGAAUGCAUGUCAGGCUGCCUGCCAAUCAUGCAUGCUGGCCAACAGCACCGUGAGUUUGGCAUAAAUGCGUUGAAUGUUGCACUCGCUCCAUGCUUUCUAAGGACUGUCCCCUAGCACUCACAUGUCCACUUGUCUCCUUACCUUCUUACUAUCAGGUAGAAGCUCCUGGCAUACGGUCUGAGACAGAGAAAAGGUGGAUGUAGUGAGUGUAGAAGAAAGGGAAUAUGCCACAGAGUUAGAGAGACCAAAGUCAGCAUUACCUUAACUAAUUUCAUUUCAGCUAGUCCACACAGGUUUUGUUUUCAUAUAUUCCUGAUAAGUUUCCAUACUUAAGCAAGAGUAUGUGAAGAGUAGUUACGGUUGCCACCUUACUUUGAAAAAAAUACAGGCCUUGCUAAUUUGCCUAACUAAUCACAUGAUGUAAAUCACAAGGAGUGACAUAAGAGAAAAUGCUGUAAAAUCACCACAAAAAUACUUAGUUUAAUUCUGCUGUAUAGAUGGAUAGCUCCCAGUGUCAACCUGUCGCCCAGUGUCCCCUAGUGUCUGUGUACCCAGUGUCCCCAUGUCACUUGGGGACACUGGGAGACACACGGGGACACUGGGAAACAUGGGCACACAGACACUUUGGACACUAGGAACACUGGGAGACGUGGGGGCACUUAGACACUUGGGGACAUUGUGUCCCAAAGUGUCUGUGUCACCAUGUGUGUCUGUGUCCCCAAGUGUCUCAGCAUCCCCAGAGGCCUCCAUGUGUCCCCAUGUCUCAGGGCCCCCUAGUGUCUCUGUCUCCCUGCAGCCUUUACUCCAUCCUUCACUUCCCUGAGCUGUAGACUGUCUCUGCAGGCUGGGAGCUGCUGUGCAGUUGCUCCCCCAUGGAUCAGUGAUAUAUGCUGUAACUUCCAUCAGCCCCUAUGUUAAUCUGACCCUGGUUGUACAUGAAUCUGGUGAAAUGAAGUGUACAGAAAUCAACAAUCAAGCAUAGGAACAAUGGCUCCGCAAACAGGGUAUGUCAUGUUAGAAAAGACAGUAUGCAGCAUGAACAUUUUUUUUUUUUUAAACCCUGUAAUUUAGUCAAUCUAAGAAUGUGUCCCGUGUGACUUCAGUGACUUAAAGGGUGAGGGCUGUCGAGCGUCACUGUGCAAUAACUUUUAACCCACUGAGGGAUGCACCCCCAACUAAUGUAACUGCUUGGUUCCUCAGACCGAGUUGAUCAGGGAUAAGUACUCCUUUUCCAUAGGGGUAGUAGAUGUACCGCAUAGCAGGCCCCACGUGUAGCAGCUAUGUUGGGUAGCUGGUGAGGGUAAUUGCGCGAGAUGUUGCUAUUUUACCAAAGGAGUAAUGUGUGUGUAACAGAAACUAAAAUGUAAAAGUAGUACUAAACAAAAUGUGAGGUGUCUCUUAUUAGAAUGGAGAAUAAUGGUAGGUAUUGGUGGAAAGACAGUCCCUUAGGAGGGACAGGCGGGGUUUCACCCUCUGGAUAAGUCCCUCAUGUUGGUGCGGCAGUCCAUUGCACCUGUUGUGAUUGUCGGGGGUAAACUCCAGUGUGUUGGCUGGAUUCAGCUGUGACAUGCUCAUUCCUUGUUGGGUCGGUGUCUUCAAGAGCCCCACGGUGGUUAGCAGGGCUUGUAGCUUUUGGGAGCUGUGCACUCUGUGGGCAGUCCCUCUGUGAGAAAAGAGGAGCGCUCGUGGGGUUUCCCAUCUGUAAGGUAUUUCAUUAUUUUGCAGGUGUUGCAAGAAGGGUUGCAUUCCCUUUCUCCAAGUAAGGGUAUUCCUUGUAAGGUCUAGGAAGAUAGACAGCGUAGAGCCUUUGAAGAGUAACAGGGUCUUCCCCCUGAGUGCCACGAGGAGCGAUGCCUUUUCUUGGAGUGACUGGAAGCGCAAGAUGAGAUCUGUAGUUGCUGAAACCCUUGCCAGCUUCGGCAGUCUAAACAUUCCAUCGAUUCGUAUGGCUUUUGCCUGUUUAGGUGGUAACCGUUCGGCAAGGAGGUGUCUGAUAAAGUGUGGCGCCUCUGUUGUCCCCACUGAGUCGAGUAUGCCUCUUCCAUGGCAUGAAUUCUACCCACGGUAGUGGUUUGUUGGUGCUGUAGAUCAGCUAAUUGUUGCUCUACAACUGUCAGCCGUGAGUCUUGAGUGCUGGAGGUGGCCCUUAGGGGAGACUAAGUCACAAAGUGACUAAAGCACGCAAGCUUGCUGCCUAGGUGUUCUCUUUGACUCCAUCUCCUUCACACCUCAUGUUCAGUCUAUCACCAAAUCCUGCCGCUUCCAUCUCAAAUACAUUGCAUGCAUACUUAACGCCAGAUGCGACUAUGGUGCUAGUUGAUUCCAGUGUCCUUUCUCGCUUCUCAGUGGUCUUCCAUGCACCCAACUAUGUCGUUACAGUUCAUAAUGAAUGCUGCGGCGAGGCUCAUCUACCUGUUUGCCCGCACCUCCCAUGCCUCACCCUUCUGCCAGUCCCUACAUUGACUUCCUGUAAGAUACAGGGCUCAAUUUAACAUUCUGGUUCUUGCUUUCAAAUCUCUACAUAAUGCUGCUCCCACCUAUCUAUCCUCCCUAAUACACAAGUAUGUCUCGUCUAGGCCCUUACGCUCUGCUGAAGACUUAAGUCUAUCUUCUCUCCGUACUCCCACUUCUGAUGCUCGCCUUCAAGACUUCUCGAGGGCUGCACCGUUCUUGUGGAACUCACUUCCCUCCUCCGUUAGAUGCUCACCCAGUCUCCACUCCUUCAAAAAAAUCAUUAAAAGCCCACUUCAUGAAAGCAUAUCAAUUAAACUGUUUCCUGAUUUCUCUCUUGCAAUUGUCAUUAGUCUAAUAAUAUCCUUACCUUUUGUGUCACUUUUCCCCACUCCCUCUAGCAUUUAAGAUCACUGAGCAGGACCCUCAACCCCUCUUUCCUGUGUGUCCAACCUGUCUGGUUACUACAUGUUUGUUCGUCCACCCACUGUAAAGCACUGCGGAAUUUGUUGGCGCUAUAUAAAUAAUAACAUAGUAAUAAUAGUAAUAAUAAUGUUAGAAAGCAAUGGGUAGGAACUGUAUUUCCUGAUAUGCAAUCCUUUCCUCUGUGAUUUUGUAAAUGCUUUUAAUCGUGUCAGGAAUAAAGUUCUAAGACAGUGAGCACUAUGGAUCUAUUAUCUUUCUUCUAGAUGUAAAUCAGAGGUGGCAAAAAAGGUAGAUCUCCAGAUCCAAAAAACAACAAUCAGAACAAGGCUUGGAACGCAACACAACGAACAGCUGUAUGGAAUACGAAUUUUGAGAAGGCAUAUAAAUAUGGGAGCAGGGACCAGGAAAUCUAUUAUACCAGACUGAGGAAGGC